GAUGAACGCUGGCGGCGUGCUUAACACAUGCAAGUCGAACGAUGAAGCCCAGCUUGCUGGGUGGAUUAGUGGCGAACGGGUGAGUAACACGUGAGUAACCUGCCCUUAACUCUGGGAUAAGCCUGGGAAACUGGGUCUAAUACCGGAUAGGAGCGUCCACCGCAUGGUGGGUGUUGGAAAGAUUUAUCGGUUUUGGAUGGACGCGCGGCCUAUCAGCUUGUUGGUGAGGUAAUGGCUCACCAAGGCGACGACGGGUAGCCGGCCUGAGAGGGUGACCGGCCACACGGGGACUGAGACACGGCCCAGACUCCUACGGGAGGGAGCAGUGGGGAAUAUAGCACAAAGGGCGAAAGCCUGAUGCAGCGACGCCGCGUGAGGGAUGACGGCCUUCGGGUGGUAAACCUCUUUCAGUAGGGAGGAAGCGAAAGUGACGGUACCUGCAGAAGAAGCACCGGCUAACUACGU
RNAcentral lists this ribosomal RNA (465 nucleotides) under uncultured bacterium. RNAcentral describes it as "partial 16S ribosomal RNA". It matches the Rfam family "Bacterial small subunit ribosomal RNA", at positions 28 to 506 of the family's 1533-position model. The record is from RNAcentral.